RNAcentral lists this small nuclear RNA (122 nucleotides) under Dendronephthya gigantea. Its description in RNAcentral is "U5 spliceosomal RNA". It matches the Rfam family "U5 spliceosomal RNA". From Rfam's summary of the family: U5 RNA is a component of both types of known spliceosome. The precise function of this molecule is unknown, though it is known that the 5' loop is required for splice site selection and p220 binding, and that both the 3' stem-loop and the Sm site are important for Sm protein binding and cap methylation. Lineage: Eukaryota; Metazoa; Cnidaria; Anthozoa; Malacalcyonacea; Nephtheidae. The record is from RNAcentral.
AAGCCUUUGUUUUCCUUCAUUUUCACGAAAAAGUCUUUCGCCUUUUACUAAAGAUUUCCGUGGAGGAGAACAAAACAAUGGGCCUAAGGAUAUUUUUUUCGCCUGUCGGAUUUUCUAGGCGG